Molecule: long non-coding RNA, 3697 nt
Filed under: Homo sapiens (human)
Lineage: Eukaryota; Metazoa; Chordata; Mammalia; Primates; Hominidae
Description: HSALNT0206574
Source: RNAcentral
GGCCGAAUCGCCUGGGCUGGGCCUCCCGAGAGCCACAGUCAUCUUCAGUCCGCGGGCUAAGUUGCCGCCAUCUUCGUCCUGGAGAAACACUUUUUUGGGGGGAGCGCUGGCUUUUGCGUCAUCUCCUCCCGCGCCGAGCUCGCUCCAUCCUGGCGCAGUGGCGCCGGCUCGGCCCGGGAGGAGGGAGAAGGCGCGCGGGGGCGGGCGGCGGCGGGGCCGCGGGGCCCGGGGGCCCCCGCCCGGCUCCCCGGGCUCAGGCGCCUGCUCUUUCCUUUCUGUCCCCCUGUCCACGAUAUUUUGUUUUAAUCACUGAAGAGAAAAAUAAAAGUCAGACUGCGGACGGCAUGGCCGGUGAGGCUCCUCGCGGCCGCGCCGCCCGCACGCUCUGGCUCCGGGAAGCGUCCGAGUUGCAGGCGCCCGGGCAGAGGUCUCUACUGGUGCGAGGGUCUGGGCAGAGUCCUCUCAACUAAGGACCGAGCCACUUCGGAUGGAAGGUGGGGGUCCGCGGAGGAAGCUCGAAUUGGCUAGAGGAGGGAUGAGGUGACAUUUGGUCUCUGAAUGCGUCUCGGAUCCCGGACCGCGAGAUCCAUCGCUCCCAGUGCGUGCAGUUAUUCCGUCCUGCUGUGUGACACGGGAGAAUGGCGCGCACGCCUGUGCACCUGCAUCGACCGUGUAGCUGCCUGGGUGACAGCCACCCAUUUGUCUAUGUUUUCUUUCCUAUUCUAAAGUAAACGAUUAGAAGUGGCCUCAUAGAGUCUUAGGAAGAAACAGUAAGCCCUGUGCCACCCGGGGUCACUGCCUAGCCCUGCCCUCCGCGCGCACCGUCCGCGUCUCCGAGGGCUCCUCCUCGGACCUGGACCCUCUGGAGCGGCUUCGACCCUCCCUCUGCCCCCGCUGCCUGCGUCCAGACCCCCUCCCGGGUGGGCUCCUCCGAGGACCUCCGCAGCCGCGGGCGAGCUGGGUGCCUGCGAGUCGCCGCCGCAGUCUGAGCCUCUGGUGCCCCUUAGCGUUGGCUCUCGGAGUUCUGAGAAGGGAAAGGAGACAGACACUCUGGGAAAAUCUGGGGUCACCUCGAUUCCGGCUCCUACGCUGGAUGCCGUGGGCAAGCAUCGGUCUCCUUUGAUCUGAAGAUCCUGCCCACUCCGCCCCUUGCCCCUGCCAGACCCGCGGGAGCAGCAGGUGGCGUGGGUGCCAGACGCUGCCGGUGCGCACCGAGUGCAGCGCUGCCCCGGCUCGCCCCGGGGGUCGCGUGGGACAGCGGUUUGCGGUGUCGCCCUCUCUGCGGUGCUUUCCAAGGACCCUCAUGCCCCGCCCGGGUGCACAUUCACCACAUGGGUCUUACUAGGUGACCUCUUUCUAAGUAAAAUGCAUUGAGAAACCAAAGGGAUGGGGCAUCCGUAUCCAUUUUCCUUUAAGGAGCGCUGUGGGUGUUGGGGAUGCGGGAGAAGUAGGUGUUUUUUAAAGAGAAAAUUGCAAAACCUCUUGGGCAGGAUUCGACCUACUAGCCUCUUCUGCUGCAUAAUAAGGGUUCAUGGACUUCCUGAAAUUCCAUCAUGGAUCAUCUACAUCAGGUCAACCAUACAUGCAAUGGAACCUUCCAUCUUGGCAGGCUGCUUCAUGUGAUCCACACCCGGAGCUGAGAUUGAUCCACACCCUGGCUGAGUGUGCUGAAUGCAAGAGUGGUUGACCUGCAUGUGAAAAUCUGAGGCCAUCACCAGCAUUGGGGGAAUGGAUGCAGAGCUCUCAAUGAAUGGCAAGCAUCCAUGUAUCCUCCUUGUCAUCUAAACCCCUUCGAAAGACACAGGUUUACAUAAGCUGCCCUCUCCCCUCUACAAAUACAGACAAUCUCUGUAAAGUAGGUCUAUUUAUUGGCAAAUAACAGAAAAGUUGCUUAAAACUAAUUUCAGAAAAGAAAAAUGAUUAUUUUGUGUUCUAUUACCAAAACGUCCAGGAACGGAGCCGAGCUGGCUUUGUGUGUAUUUAUAUUUAACUCAGUCUCUCUAAUUCCCUCAGCACUGUGCUGGCUUCGUUUUUAAGGUCCAUGUUGUGGCUUCUGGAGAUACAAGGUUGAACAUAAGGUCCCUGUAAUUGAGGUAUCUUACUCCUACUGAAUCCGGCUUGGUCCUAGAGUCCAUCCUUGAACCAAUCAGCAUGACCAAGAGGAUGGAACAUGUUGAAGAGGUUAGUCUGGAGAAUGUGUUUUAUUCAGAAAUCCAGCAGUGAAGUUAGCUUUGCAGAAACUACAUGGGUUGAGGAGACCCGGAAUAAAAAGACGGGGUACUAUAAUCACAAGGAGAAAGGGGAUAGUGAGAAGAAAAAAAGAGUAUUUAUUAAAAUAAUAUAACCUACUUUUUCAUCUUGGAGUCCCAACGUCUGCCUCCAUGUCCAGGAUCUCUGAAUGAUAUGCCAUAACAUUGGGUACAGAUGCGACUUCUCACGGUCUGGCAACUGUAGAUAAGUAACAAGCCUGACUACUCCCAAACAUACCCAGCACAGCACUGUGGAACACGAACGGCCAUUUAUCAAAAGCGGAGAAACUUCCACUUCCAUUGUUGAAAGACAGGCUUCUUCCAGCUUGGAAAGCCAAAUAAAAUAUAAAAUAUAUCUCUGUGGCAGCUGUGACACACCACGGUAAGUCCCACAUUCCAAACUGCUCUUCAGGAUCCUGUCAAUUCAGAGCAACAGUGAAGAGGCUUUCUAGCUAAACUGAAAGAAGCAACUGUGGGAGUGAGGGGAAGGGAAGUGACUCAGGUCCACCAAAAGGGAGAGACCACAGUAAAUAUCUCAGGCGUGUAGUCAGGAGCCUCAAACAUUUACAGAGUAGAAGAUGGAAAGAGAACUAGAAAAAUGGCUGGCCUUUAUAAGGUCUGAAGCCUAAAUUUGAAGCAGAUUGAUCCCUGAUUAGAUUGUGGUGCUCUGUGUCUACCCUAACUGGCUACCUGGUACAAACGAAAACCUCCCAUGAGAAAUAUAACAUCACUUAGAUUUUAAAAUUAUCUCUAUAGUGUUUCACAUCAUCAUUUGGAAUGUAAUAAGCAAAUGAUCAAGUCUAUCAAAAGACAGCAUAACAGAAUUUUUGGAGAAAAAUCAAACAAUAAAAACAAAUCUACAGAAGAUCCAGAAAUUGGGCAUAAGAUUUCAGAUGCUUUUUAAUUGGCGUGUUCAAUAUGAUGAAAAGUUGUAUCAGAGAAACCCUAAAAUUGAAUCAACCAUAAAUUCUAGAACUAAAAUGACAAAAGUAAAAGUAAUAGAUGCAUGUAUAAAUAUCUAGAGAAAAUACAAAACAAUAGUAAAUAAAUGUAUUACCAAGCUAGUAUUUUUUCUGGUCAUUUUCAUAAGAUAUUGACCAAAGCCAAAACUCUUGCUCAGUUGUAAUCUCUGAAUUUGAAAUCUGGCUGGUGAAUGUCCAUUUCUUUGCUCAUAAGUAUCUAUGCUCAGGCCCAUGAACUGGAGGCAUUUAAUUGAGCCCAUACAACAGGGCAAUAUGAAUCAAUGGCAUGAAGUAAAGAGGUAUGGGUCUUCCUCUGACCCCCAGGCUCCAUGCCAGCAGCAUCCCAACAAUGAAGGCAACUGAUUCCCCAUCUGGUAGAGAUGGAUAACAGGAGGUGCUAAGGAUUGGCCUUGAGAAACAGGAUUCUCUCAGGUUCUAAAAUAUUAGGUUGGUGCAAAAGUAAUUCUGGUUUUCACCAUUACUUUC